AUACAAAUAUGAGAGUAUACAUAUGGGAGAAGUUGCACAAAUAAACAAUGCUCUAUACGUUAGAAGAAUUUUGUUCUUUGAAAAGAUCGAACUUUCAAGUAAUCUUUUACGUGUGCUCUAAUGGUUGUUUGACCCUACAGUUAUUCUUGUGCCCUCUCCUCCAGUCUUAUACCCUCUGCACAGAUGUUACAUUAGGUGAAGCGACUGGUUUAAUUUUCGAUUCAAAAAAUUUCUUCCUCCUCUUUUGCGUGUUGUAGCAGUGUUUAGAAAUGAGCUAGGAGAUGUAUUCUUGUUCAAGAGGAAAGAGGAAACAUGUCUUGUGCUUCAGGCUGACACAUUUGCUUGAGAUUAGAAACGCUCCUUGCAUUAGAACAAACCGUGAACAUAGAUAUGUAUUUCCUAUAUCGGUUUUCUCAAAAUUGAGGAGAUUGUUCACAUAUACAAGUAGGAAGUUGACAUUAAAAGGAAUUGGAAGGUUUGAAGCCCACUUGGAGUACAUUUUUAUUUGAGAAUGAAUAUCUGCAUUUUGAUGUUCAAGUAUGUUUACUGAAGCCUAAGCAAUCAUUUACUGUCUGUAUUAUGACAACAGCUGCAUUCAUGCUUGCAGGUAUAGAUAAUCAGUUUGACGA
Long non-coding RNA from Nicotiana tabacum (common tobacco), 629 nucleotides. RefSeq lists it as uncharacterized. Lineage: Eukaryota; Viridiplantae; Streptophyta; Magnoliopsida; Solanales; Solanaceae. The record is from RefSeq and is a predicted model, not a curated record.